RNAcentral lists this long non-coding RNA (357 nucleotides) under Bos taurus (domestic cattle). RNAcentral's name for it is "long non-coding RNA NONBTAT015986". Lineage: Eukaryota; Metazoa; Chordata; Mammalia; Artiodactyla; Bovidae. The record is from RNAcentral.
UCUCUCUGUACCAAUUCACAUUUAUUUUACAUUUUAUUCAGUCUCUAAAUUAACUGGGCCUUUGCAGUAAUUUGUACAUAAAGUGCUAGAAAAUCAUGUUUCUUAUCUUGAGUAAGAGUUAUUCACAGUAAAUGCAUAUCUGGAGUUGUUUCUAUUGAUGUAAACUGUGAUCAUUAUUUAAGAGGUCAAUUCCUGACCAUAAAGUGCUUUUUAUACAGCUCUCUAAUAAUUGCAAAUACGAUCCUAAAGUCGUUUCUUGGAAUACAAAUGGAUGAAUUGCUUAUCAUGUAAAAUCAUCGUGGUCUAUGAGUUUACGAUUUUGCAGCCUGUGUUGUUUCAUCUAAUUCAUUUCUUAAU